GGGGCAUUAGCGCAGCUGGGAUUGAUCGUGCCCCGAAGGGGGACGAUGCCACUCCGGCGAGGAGCGUGCCACACUGGCAGUGUGGAGGUCACGGGUUCAAGUCCCGUAUGCUCCA
Molecule: transfer RNA, 115 nt
Filed under: Oribacterium sp.
Lineage: Bacteria; Bacillati; Bacillota; Clostridia; Lachnospirales; Lachnospiraceae
Description: tRNA-Ala
Rfam family: tRNA (bases 61-115)
Source: RNAcentral